UACAGGGGGGGCAAGCGUUGUUCGGAAUUACUGGGCGUAAAGGGUCCGUAGGUGGCCAACUAAGUCAGACGUGAAAUCCCUCAGCUUAACUGGGGAACUGCGUCUGAUACUGGAUGGCUUGAGUGUGGGAGAGGGAUGCGGAAUUCCAGGUGUAGCGGUGAAAUGCGUAGAUAUCUGGAGGAACACCGGUGGCGAAGGCGGCAUCCUGGACCAACACUGACACUGAGGAGCGAAAGCCAGGGGAGCAAACGGG
RNAcentral lists this ribosomal RNA (253 nucleotides) under uncultured bacterium. RNAcentral's name for it is "partial 16S ribosomal RNA". It matches the Rfam family "Bacterial small subunit ribosomal RNA", at positions 524 to 776 of the family's 1533-position model. The record is from RNAcentral.